Molecule: long non-coding RNA, 1371 nt
Filed under: Marmota monax (woodchuck)
Lineage: Eukaryota; Metazoa; Chordata; Mammalia; Rodentia; Sciuridae
Source: RNAcentral
UUCUGCACUCAAGGAUAUUGAUAAUCUGCUUUUUCUCUCCAUGUGUUAUUUUUGUUUAUUCUAGAAUUUCAUAUAAUAGGAAUAACACUGUUUGUUUGUUAUUUGUUUGUUUUUUGCAUGUCUAGCUUCUUGUGUUCACCUGAUAUGUUUGAAAUUUGUUCACAUUAUUGCCUGUAUCUAUAGUUUUAUUUUUUGCUUUCAGUUUUUAACCACAUAGCAUUCCAACUAUACCACAAGUUAUAUAUGUAUCCACCAAUUUUGAAUAUUAAUCAUGUUUGCAGUUUUGUACUGUUUCAAAAGGAGCUGCAGCAGACAUCAGAAACAAGUAUUUGCAUACUAGAUCUUAUAAUUUCUUUUGUAUGAAUACCUAGAAAUAGAAUUGCUAGAUCAUAGGGUAGAUGUGAACCUAACUUUAUAAGAAAUUAUCAAACCUUUUUUAAAAGUUGUUAGAUUGGGGCUGGGGUUGUGGCUCAGCAGUAGAGUGCUUGCUUAGCACAUGUGAGGCCCUGAGUUCAAUCCUUAGCACCACAUAAAAAUAAAUAAAUAAAUAGGUAUUGUAUCCAACUACAACAACAAAAAAAUAUUUUUUAAAAAAGUUGUUAGAUUAUUUUUCACUCCUGCCACUAUCCUGUGAUUGAUCAUUCCAGUUGUUCUUUAUCCUUGCCAGCACUUAAUAUUGUCAGUCUUUAGUUACCCUAAUUAGUAUAAGUCGUAUUUCUUAAAUUUUGAUGAAGUCCAAUUUAUCAAGUUUUUUUAUGCCACCUUUUUUGUAUUCUAAGAAAAGUUGCCAACCCCGAAGAUUUUAUCCUACUUUUUUCCUAGAGGCCUUAUUAUUUUAGCUUUUGCAUUUAUAUGUUUGAUCUGUUUAGAAUUAAUUUUUGUAAUGAUAUGUCAUAAGGAUUUAGGUUCUAUCUUUUUUCCCCCCAUAUAUAAAGCUAUUCCAGCAGAUUCAUUUUCUCCUCAUGCUUAUAGUUGUCUCAGCACCAUUUGUAAAAUUACUUUUUAUUUACUUGCCAAGUUAUUUUGAAAUUCAUUUGACCAUGGAUUGUCUGUUCUGGGGCUAUUCUUGCUUUAAAAGUUUGUGGGGUUUUAAUUAGAAUUGCAUAGAAUUUACAGAUAAUUUAGGAGGAAUUGAUAUCUUAACUAAAUUGAGUCUCAAGUCUAUGAACAUGAUAUUUCUGCCAUUUUUUUAAGUGUUCUGUAAUCUCUCUCAGCAUUGUUUUAUAAUUUCCAGUAUCUAGGUUUUACGUAUAUUUUAGGUUUGUCCAUAAGUGGUUUAUGUUUCUUAUACUAUCAUAAGUGGUAUUUUAAAAAAUUCUCCUUGCUGUUUAUUCAUUGCUGGUUUAAUAAAUUUAUUUUGGUGUAAUUGAC